UAAAAACAUUAUAUAUCUACAAGUGUGUUUACUAAAUACAUGUAUUAUUAUGCUAAUGUAAUUUAAUUGAUAAAGGUUUUUUUUAUUUAAGAAAAUCUGAGCAUCACUCAAAAUAACUGUCAACAUGUUUGUCAACUAAACAUGUUUUGUAAACGUUAUACAUUUUAUAAAAAUAUUUAAUAUUUUUAUUAUUGAUAAAGUAUAAAGAACAAAUCAGUGUGAAAACGCAGAUUAUAAAAAGUACAUAAAGUGCCAGCAGAGGAUCCAAAAUAAUGAAAAAAAAAAAAACAUCCAAUGCAACUUGGAAAUUGUAGUCAAAAUACAUCUACAGCAGCAUGCUAAAGCAGUACCAACGCCAGGGCAAAAGACUCAAAUUCCCAGAAUGCACCUGCACCCACCCAUUCAUUCCCACCAAUCAGGAUCAACGGCAUUUUUCAAACCGCUACUGACUCGUUUUCAUGCUAAACAGUACGGCUGAGGUAAGUUUGACUUUCAUUCCUUUACAUCGCGCAGAUCUGUUCCAUAUUUGUUCCUAUUUUGUUCUUCACUGUGAUUAUUUUUGUCUUUAUGCGAGAAGUGUUUUAAUUUAAAGCACACACAGGAAACAUUAAGAAGGUCAUGUACCAUGUGGUCGACCUUGCUGACGCUGAAGAGGUUUCUGUGUAAAAAUGAUGACAUUGAGACAAACAGACCAGUUCUGGCUGCCGUGGAGGUCAACACACCACUGAUCUACUGGCUGCCCUUCAACGUGAUGCCCAGCCGAUGCCUGACCACCGACGGAACUAGGGCUGCACGAUAAGUCGCAUGUGUUUGUCAGGCGCAUCUCCUCAGUAAUGCCGGUUCCUUGAUUAGUAUUAAAUCGCCAUCAGCUGUUUUCAGAUGUAGCAGCUUUAACUACACAGAGCCGUAGUUCACUGACAAUCGGGGCAAUUUCGCAUUAAUUAUCGCGGACGUAUCGGCUGCGAUAUGUAUGCGAUAUGGCCCAGCUUGUCAGGGAACUACGGCUCUGUAGUUAAAGCUGCUCCAUC
This is a non-coding RNA of Paramisgurnus dabryanus, 1028 nucleotides long. The record is from RefSeq and is a predicted model, not a curated record. NCBI's taxonomy places the organism in Eukaryota, Metazoa, Chordata, Actinopteri, Cypriniformes, Cobitidae.